UGUCUCGUUCACCAACCCCUUCAUCCCUAAUCGAACAUCAUCGUCAUCUUCAAUCAUGCCACACUCUGUAGCAUAAGUGCUCAUGAACUCGAUCGACUAUCAUACCAAUGAUUUGCAUCAUUUAUCGAUUGAAGACGGUAAAAAGUUUGAGACUAAACCAUUCCUAUGUAGGGUUUCGAGACACGAUUAACAUGGUGAGAGAAGUAAGGCCAAUGAAACUUCAAAAAGCACCACACGUGAAGGCACAUUUUUAGAAAUAAUGGUACAUUCUAUUGUUGGUUGGAAAAUGACAAAGAGAACUCUGAGAGGUCAUCGUAGAAGCCCAUAAAAUAAUACGAAAAUGGUACUUUGGAAAGCGAAUAUUCACCAAGAAGAGAAUGGAGUUUGAGAGAAACCAAAAGGAAAAGAGAGACUAGUAUAUAUUUUGAAUCACGACUUGUUUUUAUGUUAUCAU
Long non-coding RNA from Helianthus annuus (common sunflower), 454 nucleotides. RefSeq lists it as uncharacterized. The record is from RefSeq and is a predicted model, not a curated record. Lineage: Eukaryota; Viridiplantae; Streptophyta; Magnoliopsida; Asterales; Asteraceae. The transcript has 3 exons.